AUACGGAGGGUGCAAGCGUUGUCCGGAAUUAUUGGGCGUAAAGCGGAUGUAGGCGGUUUGUUAAGUCGGAUGUGAAAUCCCUGGGCCCAACCCAGGAACUGCAUUCGAUACUGGCAAACUAGAGUCUCGGAGGGGGUGGCGGAAUUCCCGGUGUAGAGGUGAAAUUCGUAGAUAUCGGGAGGAACACCAGUGGCGAAGGCGGCCACCUGGACGAUGACUGACGCUCAGAUCCGAAAGCGUGGGGAGCAAACAGGAUUAGAAACCCUUGUAGUCC
RNAcentral lists this ribosomal RNA (274 nucleotides) under uncultured bacterium. RNAcentral's name for it is "partial 16S ribosomal RNA". It matches the Rfam family "Bacterial small subunit ribosomal RNA", at positions 523 to 796 of the family's 1533-position model. The record is from RNAcentral.